AUUCUGGGACCUCGGUGAUACAUGGUGAUAUUCAAAUUACCCUUCCUCUCCCCAACAAAUAUCACAUGUAUUUUUAGUUAUGAGAAAAAUUGUUGUUUUGAACCUUACUCAAUCAAGCUUCUAGCGAGGUGAUCAUGGCACGCUAGGCUAGAUAGUGUACUUAUAUUAUGAAGUCGACUCUAGACAAAGAAAGAAUUCUACUGAGCUCGAUCCUGAAAAGUAAAGGAAACUAGCCUGGGCCCCUUCUGCAAAACGAGUACCUCCUACACGAAGGACUGAAAAUAGAAGGACCGAAAGGAUUGGGAAGAAGAAGAAUGCAGAUAGAAAAAAUACAGGGAACUGAAAGUCAAAGCACAGACACAGAAAUUUGUGUAUAAAAUGGGAAAAAGGCUUUAGUUGAGGAUUUGUGCAGAUAUUUGGAUUACUUAAAACGGCUAAACCGAUUUGGCCAGUCUUAGUCUUGAAAAAUUUGUGCCAAUCCAGAGGUGGUCGGAAAGAAGUGUACCCCUAUUUAUAACCUAUGCGGUAAGGGCGAAAGGAAACGAAAAAAAAAAACGAACGAACAAUAUUAACUAAUAACAUACGUCAUUUUCGAGCAUUGUGAUUGGUCGCAGAACAACAUUCUACAAAUUUGUUAAUAUACUCGAAUUAAUAUAUGAAAUUUAUUUCCUCAGUAACAAGGACGAAAUAUACGAGAGAAGUUUAUCAGCAGCAAAAAUAUUUAUUUUAGGAGGGCCCCGAGAGAAAUUUUCCGAAAAAGAAAUUGA
Molecule: long non-coding RNA, 767 nt
Organism: Ctenocephalides felis (cat flea)
Lineage: Eukaryota; Metazoa; Arthropoda; Insecta; Siphonaptera; Pulicidae
Exons: 3
Source: RefSeq, a predicted model, not a curated record